Molecule: ribosomal RNA, 253 nt
Filed under: uncultured bacterium
Lineage: Bacteria
Description: partial 16S ribosomal RNA
Rfam family: Bacterial small subunit ribosomal RNA
Source: RNAcentral
GACGUAGGGCGCGAGCGUUGUCCGGAUUUAUUGGGCGUAAAGAGCUCGUAGGCGGCUCGUUGCGUCGGCUGUGAAAACCCGCAGCUCAACUGUGGGCUUGCAGCUGAUACGGGCGGGCUGGGAUUCGGUAGGGGAGACUGGAAUUCCUGGUGUAGCGGUGAAAUGCGCAGAUAUCAGGAGGAACACCGGUGGCGAAGGCGGGUCUCUGGGCCACUACUGACGCUGAGAAGCGAAAGCAUGGGGAGCGAACAGG